Long non-coding RNA from Varanus komodoensis (Komodo dragon), 1915 nucleotides. RefSeq lists it as uncharacterized. The record is from RefSeq and is a predicted model, not a curated record. NCBI's taxonomy places the organism in Eukaryota, Metazoa, Chordata, Lepidosauria, Squamata, Varanidae. The transcript is spliced from 3 exons.
GAAGGGGAGGAGGAGGGGAAAGAGGAUGAGAAGUUGCAGUGCACUAGGUGGGCUUUGAGAGCGCUGCUGAGCCGUGCAAGGCGGAUCGGGGAAGAGAACUGGCGUGUUAAGCCGUCCUUUCGCGUUGCAAGGAUCUUCCUUUUUCAAUAACAAGCAACGUGUGUAUGUGUGUGGGGAUGCUCAUUACACGUGGAGCUGUUCCUGACGUGCGCCUUCUCUUGUGCAUUUUUCCGUGCACGGGCCGUAACACUGAGCUCUUUCGUUUUCUUCGUAUACCUUGCCCCUUCUGUGCUUGUUUGGUGUUUUGCUCUCGAAGCGCCGUGGUUGCUUUUCCGUGCUGGAGAAAGGGGUCUGGAUCCUGUGUGUGUUUACUCGGGUCGAUCUCACGGAGCUCCCACGCUGGGAGGGGGUUGGCGAGGUCUUCCCGAGUCGAUACGUUUUGUAUUGCAGCUUCAGUAACAGGAUUCUGCUGAAGGAUCCUCAGCUGCCUAGCAUUCCUGGUUUUCCCUGCCCCCUCCUCUCUUCCCCUCCCCCUCCCCCUCGCUUUAUCUGCUCUUGUGACUGGAAUCGUUUUUUGUGUUUUGCUGUUGCUGGUGGCGGUUCACAUGCUGAGUGUGUUUUUAACCCCAGCAGUCAACCAAGUAUGCUGGGCAUGCACGUUUUUAUUUAUUGAGCUAUUUGUGGUUGGAAUGUAUUGAUCCCUAUUCUGGAGCAUGGAAAAUAACCUAUGUGCGCACAUACAAAGAAAAGGCCUAUGGAAUCAGUUCCCCCCCAGCCUUGCCCCUUCUGGAGUUUAGGACCCAACAACCCCAGUUAACCAUGACUUAAGAGUAGGGAUGGUGGGAGUUGGAGUUCAAAACCUCUGGAGGACACCAAGUCAGGGGCUGCAUUAAAUACUUAAAGCAUCCUUCUCUGCCUACUUAAACUUAACCACUAAUGGCUCCCUAGCCUGCCUUGCCCACUGGAUUUAAAAUAAGUUCUUGUCACAACUUUGGAGAACAUCCUGGAAAAAGCAGCAGUAGCACUUGCGAAACACCCAUGGAACAGAGGAAAAGUUUGUUUAGCCACCAUCUGAUGUGUUGAAGCGGCUAUUGAAGUAAGACAACUGUGAACCAGAGGUCCAGACCAGACACUCGGCUAUCAUGUGCCACAAACCCGAGGUUGUACCACUCCGAGAAUGCAGGUAUCCCUCACCUGGACAACUAACAUGUCAGGAAGAACCCUAGACUGGCAUUCUUUUUCCUAACAUGCUUGAUUUCUCCAGGUGGGGAGUUUUGGAGGAGGUUCCAAACAUGCAGUCCUCUGCCUCUGACCCAGAAGGAUUGUACUGUGCGUUUUUGUCUGUCUAAAUCCUGAACUGAAAUCUGAUGUGCCCUGAAAUCUUGAUGAGAGAAAAAUGAAGCCAUUUUUUGAAUUGACUGCAAAGGAGGGAAGCAUGCAGAGAAGCAACCUGACCAAUGGUUCUUUUGGCAAAGCAGGAAGUGUUGUUUGAAAUUACAAGGCAAGAAAGAAUAUCAAUGACACACCAGUAAGUUGUUCCGCUGAUGACACCAUGGAAUGAUGAAUUGCUUGGAGCAGUUGUGAAACCACCAUUACUGGAAAGUUGUCAAGGCGAGACUAGACAUGGAUGUCAAGGAGAAUGUGUGGAAAUCGGUGACUAUUAAUAAACAAACACUUCAGCUGCUAGGCUAGCCGCCCAGGUAAUCUUUGUGUUGUAAACUGACCCUUGCAUUCACCUUUGGACGAGAUGUGCAACCUGAUUCAAUAAACGAGAUAAACUUGAACCAUAUAUGGACUGUGCUUAAUUUAAAACAGACAUUAUGGUAAUCCACAAGCCCAAUUCAGAUGUUGUUGCAAGCAAGAGAACUCGUGGGGCUGCGUCAGCGAACCUUGGCCUUGUGCCACAGCAUACCUG